GGACUACUCGGGUUUCUAAUCCUGUUUGCUCCCCGCACUUCCGCGCCUCAGCGUCAGUCAUCGGCUGGAAAUCCGCCUUCGCCACCGGUGUUCUUCCUGAUAUCUACAGAUUUCACCCCUACACCAGGAAUUCCGAUUCCCCCUCCGUGACUCAAGCCUUGCAGUUUCCAAUGCAGUUCCCGGGUUAGGCCCGGGGUUUUCACAUCAGACUUACUAGGCCGCCUACGCGCCCCUUACGCCCAAUAAUUCCGUACAACGCUCGCCCCUUACGUGUUACCGCGGCUGCU
Molecule: ribosomal RNA, 287 nt
Filed under: uncultured bacterium
Lineage: Bacteria
Description: partial 16S ribosomal RNA
Source: RNAcentral